AAAUCCUAUGAACCAUUGACAGGUGGGCCCGGCUGCUCUCUCUCUCUCGUUCUUUCUUUUCCCGUCGUCUUCUUCCUCCAGCCGGGCAGAGGCAGCGCGCAUGGCGCGGCUGGGCACAGCCGAGACGGCGCGAGACCGGCACGGCAGCGGCCGGGAAAGGUGCGUGAGGCUCCGGCGACCCUCCAAUUUCGGCGGCGGCGCAAGGCGGAGCAGGGGCGAGCAAGGAGAGGAGGAGCUCCGGGAUGGCUUGUCCACGGCGAGCUCACUGGCGGCAAAACGGUGACCGAACAGGCACGGCUUCGGUUGCUAAUUGGUGAAAUUAAAGGGGGCUCUAGUUUCUACGGAACUAGGGGAGGCCAGAGGAGCGAGGACUUACCGAGGGAUGGAGGAACGACGAAGAUCGGUGUCGCGGUGGUGGAGCGGAGAAGAAGGUGAAGCACACCCA
RNAcentral lists this long non-coding RNA (445 nucleotides) under Oryza sativa tropical japonica subgroup. RNAcentral's name for it is "lncRNA OsKeNa_06g0015510". The record is from RNAcentral. Lineage: Eukaryota; Viridiplantae; Streptophyta; Magnoliopsida; Poales; Poaceae.